ACCAACGAUCAACCAGUUUACAGGAAUAGCUCAAAGGUGCAUCUCCUGAACCACGAACUGGCAAGUAUAUAUAUAGCUGGAGCACAACACAAUGUUACAUUGUCUGAGAAUUUGUGGCCCAACAGACAGGAACGUCAGGAGGUGUAGGAUGACUGCACUGUAAUUCCUACAGCAAUGCAUGUAGACAAUGACAUGGUCUGUCAACAAAUUACAGUACAAACAGUCAAAGCGUAAAUGUGAAUCGUGUCCAGUCUCUUGCAAUCAAUCUCCCACAUACACUAAGGUGUAACAUACAAUUUACAAUAAUUGUCUUCAAAACUUUAGCCAUGGUUUACAUCAGAACAUCCCUCCAGAGUACACUGUUAUAUUGACAACAUGACUAAGCAAUUUGACUGUCUUAUCCGUACACAAUGACGCAAGGACUUGUCAUUCUGAUGGCACUGACAUGUUCAUUGACACAGAUAUUUACUUUUGAGAAACUAACUAAGGAUUUUGAGCAAGAGACUUGCUUUUGCAUGAAAUCCAUGGUGUUUUGCUAUUUGUACGAAUUGUUUUGAGAAAUGCACUUACUGUUUUGCAAAUUUCAAUUCUGAUCUGAGAAAUGUACCAAAAAGACUGAGAAAAACUGUAAGAAA
Gadus macrocephalus (Pacific cod) is the source of this 635-nucleotide long non-coding RNA. RefSeq lists it as uncharacterized. The transcript is spliced from 2 exons. NCBI's taxonomy places the organism in Eukaryota, Metazoa, Chordata, Actinopteri, Gadiformes, Gadidae. The record is from RefSeq and is a predicted model, not a curated record.